RNAcentral lists this long non-coding RNA (13030 nucleotides) under Medicago truncatula (barrel medic). Its description in RNAcentral is "long non-coding RNA (MTRU_LNC000210)". The record is from RNAcentral. Lineage: Eukaryota; Viridiplantae; Streptophyta; Magnoliopsida; Fabales; Fabaceae.
CAAGAUGUGAGAUAUCUAUAUGGACCAGUAACUAAGUUACUUUUCAGCUUCAUUCCAGCAAGGAAAGUGUUACCAGGAUAAUCAAAACUUUCCCACAAUAAAUCCUCAUUCUUACCGCUGCUGUUUGCAUCUUUCACAACAAGGUUUCCUGAAUCCAACAGCUGCACAAUAACUGAUUUCACCGUCGCUGUGCUUGAUGAAUUGGAGUUCCAGAUGACACCUUUGGAGCCAUCAAGAAUAACAAGACUUCCUUGAUCAUUGACUUUCAGCAUUGCUGUUGAGUUUUGUGUAGGAGUAUUUCUAUUGGCAACCCACACAAUAGUCCUUGGUGAUAUGUUCUUGUACCAUAUACCGAAGUAUUGGCGUUGUGAAUCGCCAAAGUUGAAAAAUCCUGCUUCAUACCUCUCAGCUGCAGAAACAAGAGUAUCACCGUAUUGCAUAAACUGAUUUGGAGCAAUAGUAGUAAAAGUUUUCUGUGUAGAGAAAGUUAGCAUGGAGGAAAAGAAGAAGAAAAACACCAUUAGCAUAAGCCCCUUGUUAUUGUUUUCCAUUCUGUUUGUGAGUGUGAGUAUGUUCUCAUCAUUUUCAUUUUCAUUUUAUCAAAUUACAAUUCAGUUGACACGGCUUAGUCCAAGUCUUCCCAUUUGUUUGACGAUUAAGCAUUAGAACCUUGUAUUUUAAUUUAAGGAAAAUGCUAAUUUAAUAGUGAUACUGAAAAAGAGAUGUAAUGUAACUUAUUUAUUUAGAUAUUCAAUGCUAAUUUCUUUUACCGUUACUUAUAUUUUGGCAUUCCAGAUUUUGUCAUUGUCUUUCAAAGUCUUUGUUUGCCGUCAUCUUCCAUGUCAGAUUUUUUGUUCUCUCUAUCAAAUUCUUCAACUUGCAUUUUCUUUUGUCGAUUCUAUUAUUAUUUGUUUUCUUUUUCCGAUUACUUUUAUUGAUUUUAUUUGUUUAGGAUCCGUUGAGACAAGAUGUAAGUUAAAAGACUUACACCAAAUAUGUGACGUUAGAUCUAAUCAAUCCUACGGUUUGAAAUUAAACAUUUAACAUGAUACAUGUUCACAGGCCACCUUCACAGCAUAAGAAUUUGAAAAGUAACUAUAAUGUAAAAAACUAAAAAUUAUAUAAGGAUUUGGAAUAGGGGAACAAAGUAAUGAACUCAAAUGAAAAUGAUGAGAAACCAUCGAUUUUAAGGAGAAAGAUAUGAUGUUUAGUGGGGCACCAUGGAUGAAAUCGGAGAAAACCAUAAUGAAGCGGAACAUGAACGCGAGAGAAAUAGGGGGAGAUGAAGGUGCAAACUGAUUACCUACAUUAAUAAAAAAUUAAAGAUCAUAGUAAUGAUUAAUCCAAGGGUUGUGAUUUAACCCUCUCACCUCUCAUAAUAAAAACACUCUUAUUUGAUUCGCAACUCAUCGCACCACCGAAAUCAAGGAUUACAUUAUGGGAGGUUGCAAGCGGCGAUUUUGGAAAAGGGAGAAGAGAGGCGGUUUGGCUAGAGAGAGGGCAGAUGAUAAGUUUUUUCUAGAGAGAAGUUGAACACCGAGAGAAAUAUUUUCACCUGCUCUCAAGUUAUAACAAACUAAACUAACAAUGAUUAUCUAUUUCAAUGACAUCAACAACAAUCUUUAUUAUAGAAAAAGUUGUUUAAAGGUAUAAUUGGGAUAAUGAAAAAGUAAGUAUAAAGAUACUCAUCUAGUUUGUUUUUUUUUUUUUUUUUGACAAGUACUCAUCUAGUUUGUUAUACUUUUUAAAUGACAAAGGAAAAAAAAACAUAUAUAUAUAUAUAUAUAUAUAUAUAUAUUCAUAUUACUUUUUUUUUAAUUUUUAAAUAUAUUCUUAUCUAUUUAUCACAAUAGUUAUUUGUAUUGAAAGUUGAAGGCAUUUUUGGAAAGAGAAAAAUCGAGCACAAAAAGCUGAAAGGGGUUAUUUUCUGCUCUUUUUAUUGCGCUAAAGUUUGAAAAUUAUGAACGGUAUUUUUUAUGAAAUUUUAAUUUUGAUUAAAAGUAAAAAUAUAAAUGUUUUUUGCUUUUAAAUUAUAACAAAUCAAACUAACCAUGAUUGUUUAUUUGAAUGAAACCAACAAUAUAAUAAAAAAAUAAAAUCUAAAUUCUUUUUUUUUUUCCUUCAUAAAAAGUAUUUUAAAAUCUCACUGAAUCAAUACAAUUUCACAAAAUCUUUUAAAAUUUUAAAAACUUUUUAUUUAUUAAAAUAUUCUUUUAAAAUUCUAAUAUGAUACACCCUUAAUAUUGUUUGGUCACAAGAAAAUAGCAAGGAUUUAAUGUUUAUUGUGUUAUAGGUAAAUGUGGAAUCCUAACCUUGCAAAAAAUUAAAUAAAAGUUACUAAACAAGGUUGUUAGAUUUUUUUUUUCUCCUAUGAAUCAAACUCUAUUUUUGAAUACAACAAUAUUUAUUUUGGGCUUAGAGUGUCACAUUAUCAAAAUCUGUAGAUCAUUUGAUUUGUUUGACUUUUACAAUAACAAGUAACACAAAUGAAUGGCUGUGAUGUGCUCACAUGUUAAAAUUUUGUACCUUGACCGUGCAUGAAAAUUAAACACUUAAGUACUCCUUCUGUUUCUUUUUAAGUGUUUUUUUAAGGUUAUUUUUUCGUUCCUAUUUAACUGUCUUUUUGGUAUUUUAAGGGUACGAUUUGUCAAUUAUACCCUUUGUCAAUUACUCUUAUCUUUUUCAAUAAAACUAAUUAAUGUUGUCUAUUUGAAAAACUAAUUUUUUUUUUUUUUUUAAAAACAAAGUUUGUUUCUUAUUAUCUUCAAAUUUAAACAAAAUUUUGUUAAAACAAUGGUUGUAAGAAAAGUUAAAAUUCUAUAAAUAAGAUGAGUAGAAAUUGUUAAAAAAUUCAAGUGCAAAGUAAAAGAACAUGUUUGAGAGAAGAAAAAUAAAAGACUCCAUGAACGUUCAAAAGAAAGAAAAAGUGAAAGACUCGUUGAAAUAGUUAAAGAAGGAGCAAUGGUUGAAGACUCAUUUGACAAGAUACACAAACAAGAACAAGAAUAAGAUGACAAUGAAGAAGAAGUUUCAUCAAUAUAAUUUUUAUAUUGACUUAAAAUAAUUAAAAAGAUGUGCAUAGUAUCUAAAAAAUUGAUAAUUGUUUGUAUGAAAGAGAGCGCGCACAAAAAAUAGGAAUUUAUUGGAGAAAAAAAAUAAUAAGUGACAAUUGUUUGUUACGAGAAAAAGAUAACAUAUUAAAUUUAUUAUAAAGAUAAAGUGUGAGAAAAAAAAAGGAAUUUAUUGGUGGAGUAAAUGAGGAUAUAAUAGGAAGAAAAUGUGCAAAAAUACACAUCACUAUUUUUGUAUUAAUUUUCUAAAAAGACACUUUGAAAAGAAAUGGAGCGAAACCAAUAUAAAGUAUUGUAAAUUGCCCGGCAUGCUUCCGCUAUAGGUCGUCCAACUAAUGUAUAAAUUGUUUGUAUUAGGCGGAUUUUUGGCUUCGAAACAUUUUCUUCAUUGAAAAUUAAGGUCGAAACUAUAUUCUUAUUCAACAUUAAGGAUGGACAAGUGGAGACUUUGUAUAUUUAUAUUUCUUUUUAGUGGUGAGUGGAGACUUUGUUUAUAGAUGUAAAGGAUGGACAUGUGAAAUAUAUGUUGUUUAUUCCAAUUGUAUUUGGCGGAUUCUCAAACAAUUUUUUUUCUCAAAAAAUAAAAAUAUAAUUGUAAUUUCAAAAUAUUAUCUUUUAUAUUUUUUAUUAUAAAAGCUUCUAACCAUAAACCUAAUUCUUUCCCUCCAACCACUUGCAAAGUCUUUAUUGUCUCUCAUUGCUUAUAAGAAGAAUUUGUUCUUCCUCAUUGCUUUCUAUUAAGUGACAUUUAAUAACGUGUCAUAACUAGUUUUGACAUAAAUGAAAUUUAUUAGGCUUUUAUAAAAAGAGAUUCAACGACAUACGAAAUUUGAAUUCAAAAUUAACAUUUUCCCUCCCAAAUAUACAAAUUACACAUUCACCCAUUCUUCUAUAAAUUUAGAUCUCUACUUUUGGAAUCUCUCAUUUAUCAACUCACUCUCCUUUGUUGUUCAUCUAUCAUUUCCAUAACGACUAAUCAUAAUAUGGAUACAUUGCUUUCAUAUCAUUCCACCGCCAUAUCAACAUGGUGAGAUUAAUUUUCAGUUUUCCUAUGAGAAAAAGUUGCCUCAAUAUGAUGUUACUUCUGGAUUUUUAGUGAGUUGUUUAAUUCUUAUAGAUAUAACAGAGAAAAUCGCAUAUAUGUCCAAUAUGUCCGAUUUUUAUUGAUCUCAUUUUUUGUUGUUGUUUGUAGCUGUUUGAGUAUCAUGGAUUUUGCGAGUUGACAUUGAACAAACAGACUAUUUCUUUAGUUAUGAUUGACGAUUGUGCCAACAAAUGAGCUUGCAUUCUACUUUUUGGAUACCUUACAAAUGAGCACUUAAAAAUUGGAGGACAGUGGAAGCGUAUAAUUGUUGCUCGAAGAAUUCAUAAGGGCGCGGAAGUUUUUACAAGAAGGAUCAAACCAGAAAUCCUAGGACAUGUUGUGCAAAGUUUUUUCAGAGAAAAAGAGUGUGCAUUCAUCCAAUUCAUAAGUUGCUUUAUGAACAAGACGAGUCCGUAUGUCGUCUUGCGACAGAAAAAAGGUUAUAAACAAAAGAAAACGUAGUAAAUGCAAAAUAAAGGCUACAAAUUUAAAACACAGAAACUUAAAGAAAAGAUAAAUUGCAUUGCAUUAAAAUAAAGGUAGUUCGAUAAAUAAUUUUAGUAUCAUAUUAAUUAGGAGCUUAUAGUUCUCCAUUGUGUUUGUGUAGGUUUUCUCAGCUUACUAUAAUUUUUAGUAUCAUAUUCAUUUUUCAUUUGUCUUACCAAGCUUCUUAAAUUUUUUACUUCUGGCGACAAUCCCUAUCAAUUAUCGACAACAUUGUCUUUUUCAAAUUCAAUUAAGACAAAGGCCUUGUUUGGAUAACCAACUUAUUUGCAGCUUAUAGUGUAAGAACUUACAUAUAAUAUUUUAUAGUUAAAACUCGGUAGCCGGCCCAAAUACCGACUAAUUCGAGAGAUCAGUCUCAUUGUCUACUAGCAGGAAGAGCCAAUUUAAGCGAGAGAAAACUCUGUAUGAACUCACCCAUCACAUGAAGUUUAGGAAGUACAUAAAUAUAUAUAUAUAUAUAUAUAUAUAUUUUUUUUUUGACGGAAAUAUAUAUAUAUAUAUAUAUAUAUAUAUAUAUAUAUAUAUAUAUAUAUAUAUAUAUAUAUAUCCGAUAGAGCCUGUUAUUUUACAAAGUACAUGUAAUAUUAAUAAAAAAAAAUUACAUGUUGUAUUUUGGAUAUCCAAAAACCAAUUCAAAUUAAACCACCACAUAUAUUUGGAUCAAAUAUAAUUUUUUUAUAUUAGCCAUCCAAAUCGAAUCGAACUACAUAUGAUUUUUAUUUUGGAUCGAGUGACUUUUUAUCUAAAAAUCGAUCCAAACCGCACCACAAACACCCCUAAUUCGUUGUCUUUAGAAUAGUCUACUAAGAAAGUUGAAUUUUCAAGUUUCUUCCCUUCUAUAAUACCAUUAUUUUAGUACAUAAACAAAUUUCUAUCAUGAGGAACAAAAUUUAAUUUCAUCGAACUUUAAAUCCGAGUAAUUGAAAAAGUGUAUAAUUGAUAAAUGAAGGAUAAGUGACAAAGAAGUUGUUGGGUCAAUAAAUGAGUUCUUUGCUAAUAUCUGAUUUUUGGAUGUUAAGUGUUUCAUUUAUUUUAGUUUGAAUCUGCGUAUUUAUGUUUAACUUGUGAAGUAAUUUUGUUUAUGUUGUCACAAGUUGUAAAUUGUUCAUAUGGAACGAUGAAAUUGAUGAACAUCCUACAUAUGUUCGUCCAACAACAUCUGAACCCAUAAGUCAAUUGCCUAAUUCUACUAAUGCAUCACAUUUUACUGCUGUGAAACUACUUCUGAUUGAAACCGUGUAUAGCUUGUGAAGGACAUUACUAAAAGAUUGUGGAAUCUAAGAAAAAUGAUAAGUUGGAGAUGAAGCUUAAAAAAUCAAGGAAGAAAAUGGCAAUUUGUUAACGGUGUUGUUGGUAUUGUAUCUUGGCUAAUUUUCUUUGCAUAUUUGAAGAAGUAAUGAAUGUAACCCUUUAAUGGUUUAAUGUAAUGGUUUAUUUCAACCAUUUUAAUGAAUGAAGUUGUUGAAAGACAAUGUAGUAUCUAUUGAUAUUUGUGUUGUUCACAAUCAAUUCAUCAUGACCUAUAUUUUUUGUGUACAAUCAAAUCAUAAGCUGUUAUGACCGUAUGUAUGUAAAGCAAAAGACAUUUGUUAACAAUAACUUCGAAUUGUCUUACAUAGCCACAAUGAAUAGGACAAAACUCCAUAUGAACUUGUCUUAGAGUUACAAAAUACACAACCAUUGCAAUCAUAGAAGUGUCUUGCAUAACCAAAAUGCACAAAAGGCAUACAAAAUUCACUAAGUAAUACAAAAUGCAUAACCAUCCUAAACACAAACUGGAAUCCAUUUAAAGUUCCAAUGGUUUCAAGUUUCUAAAUGCAUAAUCAAAUUCAUUUAAUUAAUCUCUUGAAAAUGUCAUCCCAACUUCUUCGUGCAACCAAGGAUCUUCCAACCUUUGGAUCAUGUAGUUUUGGCUAUGUUGAUGACAGGCUCAUGCUUGGGGGGGGGGGGGGGGGGUUCUCGACUGGAAGGAUCGCUUACUUCAUACCAAAGGACCCCGUUCAAACCAUUUUUAUCCUACAUGCCUCGUGGUUAGGGGGUAGUGAACUGAUCAGAUCACUUGGCCCGCAUGCCCAUUGCUCCCAAAACCAAGUGGGAGAAUCGAGAGGCCCAUGAACCGGAUGCCUAGGCUACGUGGCUACCCUAAUCCUUACCUAAAUAAGAAGGCAUCUAUCCAAACCCUAAUUCAAUCACUGUCUACCCCCUAAAUACUUAAACAUUUGCAGCCAAGUACAUGGCACGUUGCCUACUAUGUUUGACCUAAAGGUCUCAUACGAGAACAAAAACCAACAAAAUGGUCUAGAAAUUUCAUUUUAUUGUUUGGAUAUAUCAUAAUGUAAGAGAACAUAGUUACCAUUCUAUUUGAAAAAGUAGACAAGAUGAAAUGAUUUACUACUCUUUUAUUUUAUUGUUAUUCCAUAUAAAAAACUAUCUAAUUUUCUUGGAAAAAAGGUUUUACCUUUAAAUGUUCGUUCUAUUAUAUUUAAAUUGUGAUAUAUAUACAUGCUCUUGCCGGGGAAGAUAAGAGUCGGUCGGGUAGGUGUGCUGCAACUUCAGCGGUGGUUCAUAGUGGUGGAUACAUCAAGGUUGGGGGUGUACUUGAAAAGCCAAAACAACUCCCAAGUUGGUGAGAUCUUAAUGUGCUUUGGAGAGAAAUACUCACUAAUCUAUAUCAUCUUUGUAGAGAUAGCCCAAAAAAAACUCAUUCAGCUACCCAUACUACGUACUCCUAAUGCAACAAAAUAUUGAUCUUGAAAUGGAAAUGGCAGUGCAACUACUACAAUACCAAUCCCAAUACCUAAUUUGGUUGCUGCAGAAACUGCUCUUAAUGCCCCUUAUAACAAUGUAUUUGCUAUAUCAACAAAAUCUUAUAAUGUUGUCAAUAACAAUCACUACAACAUAAUUGAGAUUUAGUAACAAUUAAAAAAUGUAACUAAAUCAAGAAAAAUGUUACUAAUUAAAUUUAGUAACUUCUGAACAAUUGUUAGGUAAAACCUAUGUUACUAAAGAGUUUUGGUAAUAUUUUAUGUAUUAUUAGUAACAUUCAUAAAGUAUUACUUGUUUAUAUUUUUUUUGUAACACUUUAUAUAUUACUGGUAACACUAAUAAAAUAUGUGACGGUCUUUAAACGGUUCAACGAUUUCAUAAAAUAAAUUAAUUUGAUUAGUUAUAUUCUACAGUUUUCUAAAAACUGUGACACAAUCUUUUAAGUAAACAUAUGGAAUUAGUUCAUCAUAUUCACCAAAUGAUAGGGAUAUGUCACAAAAGGAAGAUAAAAAACGACAGUGAGCAAGUUUAUUAAGCACAUAACUGAUGCGGCUACAAAAAUCCACUGAAUCAUAAAUCACCUAACAAAAACGACACCCAACUGAAUAUGAAAACUUCAAGCAAUGCUCAACAUCUCACAACUUGAAAAUAUGCAAGAUUAAAACUUAAAGGAAUCUAACGAAACAAUCAUUUAAGCAUACCAUUCUUAGAAAAAAAGAGUAAAUAUAUACAAUCACCAUACCUUUCUGAUCUUCAAAAGGUAGAAAUCAAUAAUGUCAUCAAGCAGCACAAUAGAAAUGCAAUCCUUUUCUUUAAUCUCCUUUGUAUUGCGGCGUUGCUUACCGCAAGCAUCUUCAUAAUGCUCUGCCUGCAAGAUUGCAGACAUAUCUCCUUUCUAUUGUGGCAUUAAUGCAUCUGUUGUAAUUGAUGAAUCUGCUAAUCCUGUUGAUGAAUAUGUGGUUACUAAUAAUGUUGUUCCACAAGAUGAUUUUGCUAAUGCUGUUCUGCGUUCUUGAACCUUUUUUUUUUUUUUUGAAGAAGCUAAAUUAGUCUAUUGAAAUUGGCACCGGGGAGAAUAGAACCUUAGACCUUAAGGAGGAGCACACUCUCAGAUCUCAAGUCAAUACCACCAGGCCAACCCAAGUGGGUUUUUCUUGAACCAGUUAAGUUCGACAUCCAAAACUGUUUGGUAAUUAUGACUCUUUUGCUAUGGCAGUAGUACUUAGAGCUUUCAAUUUUAUUUUAUUUUUUCAAAAAAAGACAACAAAGCCAAAGGUUGUGAAGAAAUUGAACCUUAAGAAGGUGAGAGAAGUGAUAGGAUGAGAAAGUCAAACACUAGGCCGCUGGUGUUUAACUAUUUAGAGGGGUGGAAAGUGAAUGAAUUAGGGUUUGGCUAGAGACCUCCUUAUAUAGGGAAGGAUGGGACUUUUCCCAGGCAGCUCAUUAGUUUUUCCUAUAAGUACCGUCUUGUCACUAGGGCGGGAUAUCUGGGAGCUUCCUUGCCCCUCAAUCCUUUCCCUAAGCUGGAAGGAGUUUGGCUCCCCAACCACGAGUCCUAGGCAAUCAGGUCAUGGGCCUCUCAAUUCUCCAACUUGGUUCUGGGAGCGAUGGGCAUGUGGGCCUAUCGACUCAACCAACCGAUUUUUAAGGUAUCAUAAGUCCAAGAGUUGGUGUCACGACGAGUGCACUUUACAACUCUUUAAUCUAUUUUUCCCGUCAACCCAUUUAAUUUGUUGGUACCCCUUUACAUUGGACCGACAACCAGCUCUGAUAUAAGUUGACAAGUAUCAAGCCCUUGAAAAUUCCUCCCUUAAAGCUAGGUCUAAAAGAGAGAACAAAGCCACUCAAAUACUUGAGUGAGCAUCUCAUACUACCAAUAUGAGCCCCUAUCAUAAACCUUCUGAUAGAAAUUAACUUUUACAAAAAGAGAGCAUGUUUGCAGCAUGUGAUGGUUCCAUAUUAACAAUCACAUUCCAAAAGAUAAAAAUAUGAAAUUUCAGAUUCCGAACGAUUCUACAAAUGGACCUCAAGUAUCCUAUAAUUCUGUUACAUUUCAACAAUAAUUGAUUUACAAUACCAGAUAGAAAAUGGCAUAGUAAUUUAAAUAAGUUUUUGAAAUACACUUUAACAACAGGAAUUUAUCAAGAAUCAGUAACAUAAAAUUACACAUGUACAACACAUUAGUGUUCUAUGAUCUAUCUGUAUCUAUAUUUGUCAAAACAAGAAUUUAGUAUCACACACAGUGGCAUUCUAUCGGGCCUCUAAUAAUGAGAUUGAAGCUUCAAUUAUUGAACACUCUUUAGAUGAAGAUUCUAUGCUAUUUUUAUUAUCGCUUGCUGCGUAGAACCCGGGUUCACUUGGUUUCGGAAGUAACUUUUCACCCUUUAACAUAAAAACCACAGAUGACAUGUUAGGCCUAUUUUCUGGUUUCUGUUGUACACACAAUAGACCCACAUGAAUAAAUCUUAGUAUUUCUGUACAUAUGGCGUCAUCAUCAUAUAAUACGUCAGCUAUUAACUCCAGUGGUCUUUCUUCAAUCCAUAGUCUCCAUGCCUAAAAUGACAUCAAAGUUACAACAUGAGUAAGCUCAACACUUAUAAUGUGGAUUUUGAUUGAUUGAUUUAUUGUGUGUUAGUAUGUGUGGAGUUCACUUUAAACUAUCAUCAUCAUAUAAAUUAGUUUUCAUUUUGAAUUCCUUCCCAUGCAGAAGAUUUAUUGAGACCAAAAAAAGGGAUAUAAGAAAAGCAACUAAAAAGGAUACAGUGUGUCACAAGAUAGAGAAACAUAUACACUUCCAAACUUACAUGACCAAGAAGGUUAAGACGGUGUAGUGGGUCGCGAAAUCCAUGAUUCUUUCUACCGCUAAUUAUCUCAAGUAGAACAACUCCAAAACUAUAAACAUCAGAUUUUAUUGAGAAGGAUCCAUCCGCUGCAUAUUCUGGAGGCAUAUAUCCACUGCAAGAAUAAGAAAUUGCUGUUUUUAGUAAAAGGAGCUGCAACAUGGCACAGAACUGAAGGUUUAAAUAAGUACCGUAAUAUGUCCCUAAUUAAAAUUCUUAUCAGUAAUAAUACCUAAAACAUAGAACACAAUGCUUGUAAUAUUUGUUGAUAUUGGACAUAGUCCAUGUAUAGUAUCUACUCUAUGGACUAAUACUCCAAUAUGAACAAUUAUUAUCAAAGUCUAAAACCAAAAUAACGAGGAUAAAAGACAAUCUUUCCUGUAUUUUAGGAAUACAAACUGAUAAAAAUCUUUAAUAGAAACGAAAACUGAAAUAUAUUUCAAAGACGAAAAAGUCAUUUAAGCCUUAAAAUUGAAAUAAAUAUAAGUUAGAUAUUACUAUGAUCCGAUCAAUCUAUUUGUAUUAGCCUCUGCUUCGUCUCCCAUAAAUGAUCUGGCUAAACCAAAAUCUGCUAUCUUUGGAAUCAUAUCAAUAUCAAGAAGAAUAUUGCUUGUUUUCAUAUCUCUAUGUAUGAUUCUUAGUGUAGAAUCUUGAUGAAGAUACAACAGCCCUCGAGCAAUUCCAUCAAUAAUUUCCAGGCGCUUAUUCCAAUUUAGCAAUUUGCUUCGCAUAGUAUCUAACAAAAUUCACAUUCUUAAGUUAGCAUGGGAACUAUAUUAUGACAAAACUAAACUAAGAGAAAUUAAUUUCGUUGGUGAGAAAGUUCAAACCAAAAAUAAAGUAAUCCAAGCUUCUGUUGGCCAUGAAUUCAUAGAUCAACAACUUUUCAUCUUGUUGAAUAGAACAACCAAGAAGUUUAACAAGAUUACGGUGUUGAAGUGUUGCCAUCAAGUUUACUUCAUUUUUGAACUCCUCGGUUCCUUGUGCCGAUGUUUUAGAAAGCCUUUUAACAGCAAUCUCUUGGCCGUCUACCAUUACACCCUGGUAAUAUUUUUUAAAAUUUUAGUACUUAGAGUACAUGGUGAAAUAACUAUAUAGAUAAACUAACAUGAUAUCGAAGACUAUACCUUGUACACUGCUCCAAAACCACCUUCUCCCAACUUGCUUUUGACAGAGAAAUUAUUUGUUGCAAUAGUGAUGGUUGAAAAAUCAAAUAUUGUUGCCAAAUCACAAUAUUCCUUCUCCUUCUUGUGCUUCCAGAGAAAUAACUUUUUUAUAUACCCUGAAGUAACAGUUUAUGUUGUUUAAUGUUAAGAAAGUAACAGAACACAUCUAUCAAACUUUAGAGUUCAUUGUAAUUUGUAACUAAUUCUGUUUGCAGCGCUAUUUGAGUAAGUAAGUCAUACCAUUUUCACUCGGCUUACCAAGCUUCUUUCUAUAUACUGAUGUGAUCAAUACGAGAACGGUUAGUCCUAUAAUGAAUGCAACAACUCCUGCAAGAGUCCCAGCAAGCUUCAAUUUCCGCUUAUUCUUUUUAUGAUCUGAGGGUUGAAAUUAAUGUCAGUCAACAAGAAGGUAUAGGAGUAUACUAAAGAGAAGAAAAAAACAUCGAUAGAGAACAAAACUUCCAUUUGGAAGUUGAACACAACUUUUUCUUAGAAAUAGCUCUGGUAAAUAGUUACUUGAAAGUGAAAUGAGAAUUUACUGGUCCAUAAUAAUAUCAACACAAAUGGUGAAAUAUGUAAAUUUAUGCUAUAUCUAACUGAAAGGACAAAAUAUGUAAUAGCAAAUGAAAAUACCAAGCUCUGAAGAUGCCAGCCGUAUGUAAAUGUCUUGUCCUUGGUCUGGAUGUUUUCUCAUGUCGACAAUGUUGUCAAACCAAAGUAAGCAGCCACUCCCACCAUCUCUGAUAUCUGAAUUUGCAUAUGCAGUGCAAGAACAGUUUUUCAAACACAUUGUCUUACAUUCCUCAAGGCUCAAGCUCCUGUCAUACCAAGAUGUUGACGUGUCUGGCAACUUCAUGUUUGUGUACGGUAAAAAUCCAUCGCCAUGGAGACAAUUUAAACGUGUUUUCCUUAUGCACCCACCAGACCAAUUUGAUGACUCCCACUCUGGUUGAGAUUUUGGCACGAAACCUUCUAAGCAUUCACAUAUUGGAAAGAUAUCACCAUUGCAGUUAGAAUUGUUACCACACAAGUCAUAAGCAUCACACUGGUCUGCAGGAAGAGCAUAUAUAGCCUCCCAAAUCUGUGUCCUAUCUGACCAUUGAAAACGUUGUGAAGUUCCAUAUGGAUCUAGCACCAAUCUAGUAUUAAUUGAACUGUUUAAAGUUUCAUAUUGAUAAGAGAAUUCUUUGUCGGUGACUACUACUGAGAAAUUCAAGACUCUACGCAGUCUUUGCCAAGAAACACCAGUGAAAAGAAAUCCAUUCCAUGACCCUCCUCUAUACAGAACCUUUGCUCCCUUUGCAGUAACCAGUUGAGGAAAACCAUGUGUAUCUAUCUUAUAUGAACACUCACCCUCAGCAGGAUCUUGAGGGUCUUUCCAAGAUGUGAGAUAUCUAUAUGGACCAGUAACUAAGUUACUUUUCAGCUUCAUUCCAGCAAGGAAAGUGUUACCGGGAUAGUCAAAACUUUCCCACAGAAAGUUCUGAGAGUUUGCAUCUUUCAGGACAAGAUUUCCCGAAUCAAAAAGCUGAACAACUGAUUUCACUACAAUUCUUGAUAUAUUGGAGGACCAGAUAAUGCCUUUGGAGCCAUCCA